Aulographum hederae CBS 113979 is the source of this 91-nucleotide non-coding RNA. NCBI's taxonomy places the organism in Eukaryota, Fungi, Ascomycota, Dothideomycetes, Aulographales, Aulographaceae. The record is from the annotation of a GenBank genome assembly.
GCGUGGAUAGUCUAGUGGUUAUGAUGUCGCCUUUACAUGCGCCCAACGCAUUGCCCGGCGAAGGUCGGGGGUUCGAUCCCCCCUCCGCGUA